AUAGCGUAGCAAAGACGGUGAAAUGUCAACCUGCACUUGACCCACAUGUGACCCACAUGUGACCCACAGCACCGUGAUGACAGCCUUCCCUGCUUUCUUCACAGCCAUUGGAUAAAAGCCAGACUUUAAAGAAGACUUAAAUUUGACUUGAAACCUAGAGCCAAUGAAAAUGUGGGACUUCGUCUCAAUAUGUGGGACGUGGGACAACAGAUGAAAAUGCUGUGCAGUCUUUCGUAAAGUUGGACACCAUGGUCACCCUAUCUCCACCACUGUUAAAAACUGGGACAGGACAGACGUAGCCUAAUCAAAUAUUGUUUUUGAAUUGCUGCAGUGUGCUGAAACACCCCCCUUCUGGCAACCUCACAUGAUGGGCUGAAACACAUAAAACUGGAACCAAACACAUAACUUGAAACUGAACAAUAAAGCUGUUCUCUGAGAAAUAAGAUGUCGAGGAUGACUUUGAAUCUGGCAAGUGCAUCUUUAACGUGGUCGGAGGGUACCGGUAUUACAUUCACACUCAAUAUAUCCACCGCUGGUUUUCAGUAUGCACUACUUGCGGGAUUAGUUCUGACAGUGGCACUGACAGUGGCAGUGGGAUUGGCCGUGGGAUUGGGAAUGGGAGUGUACUCUAAUAUGAAAAAAGAAAAGAAAACUUGACUGAGGAGUUCCUUCAUCUCGAAUUAACUGCAAAAGCAUCUAUGGGAUCAUAACUCUGUAAUAAAAACAAAGAUGACAGACAUUGACAACAUUUAUUCUAACUAGGCUAUAGGCAAUGUGUAAUAUCUGGCCACAUGUGCCAAACAAAUAGGCGGCAGCAUUUCUGUCCAUACAUCUAAAUCUAAAAAGAGAUAAGACAGUGAUUGGAAUGAACGUCACUGAUGUGCUCAAAAUGGAAACUAAGUUGGUGUGUGGAUUCCAUGCUUUUGAUAUACUCACACUAGGCCUUAUAUCUGUGAAGGGGAACCAGGAAUCAGCUAAUAAGAAGAACAUUUAAGAAGAUUGUUUCUUUGUCUCAAAUGCAUUGGAAAGGCAUGGACAUCUAAAGGGCCGGAGAGGUCUGGCACUGUGCAGUUCCUAGAGCAACUCCUCUUUUUGCAAAUCAUGUGAUGAAAAUAAAGUUGGUUCAGCAAA
Long non-coding RNA from Sebastes umbrosus (honeycomb rockfish), 1131 nucleotides. RefSeq lists it as uncharacterized. The record is from RefSeq and is a predicted model, not a curated record. The transcript has 3 exons. Lineage: Eukaryota; Metazoa; Chordata; Actinopteri; Perciformes; Sebastidae.